CCGAGUGAGGGCCCUCUGGGUCCAACCUCCCACCCGUGUUUAUUUACCUUGUUGCUUCGGCGGGCCCGCCUUAACUGGCCGCCGGGGGGCUCACGCCCCCGGGCCCGCGCCCGCCGAAGACACCCUCGAACUCUGUCUGAAGAUUGUAGUCUGAGUGAAAAUAUGAAUUAUUA
RNAcentral lists this unclassified non-coding RNA (173 nucleotides) under uncultured fungus. Its description in RNAcentral is "sequence contains ITS1, 5.8S rRNA gene". Lineage: Eukaryota; Fungi. The record is from RNAcentral.